CCCGGACAGUCUGCAAGGCACACAUUACAGCUUUGGUUAUUACAAGAGGAUGUCCACUCGGAAAGAAUGCCACAUUUGCAAGGAAAAAAUUGGGGUAGCCAGCAAAACAUGUCAGCACUGUGGUGCCAAGCAGCCUUACAAGCAAAUACUCGAAAAACGCAAGAAAAAGGUUUCCCUUGACUGGAAGGAGAGGCAGAAAAAAACUGCAAUGUUAACAAUGAUGCAACCAAUCUACUGCUCCACAAGUGGGAAAUUUUAGAGCGGCAUCCAAUCCUCCUCCUUUCCAGGAGAACUACAAAUGGUUUUGUAACAGAGUAUUUCUGUCCAUGGCAAAUGGACACUGAAGAUGCCAAGGAUGCCUUUGUCACAAUAAAGAAGAUUUAUGAAAGUCUUCUUAACGCUACAAAACCUCCACUGGUCAACAAUACUGUGACUGGAAAGAAAGUGCUGCAGGAAGACUAUGAAUCCUCAACAUCAGCCAAGCAUCAAACCAGUGCA
This is a long non-coding RNA of Scomber japonicus (chub mackerel), 498 nucleotides long. RefSeq lists it as uncharacterized. The transcript has 4 exons. NCBI's taxonomy places the organism in Eukaryota, Metazoa, Chordata, Actinopteri, Scombriformes, Scombridae. The record is from RefSeq and is a predicted model, not a curated record.